This is a non-coding RNA of Pantherophis guttatus, 1741 nucleotides long. The record is from RefSeq and is a predicted model, not a curated record. NCBI's taxonomy places the organism in Eukaryota, Metazoa, Chordata, Lepidosauria, Squamata, Colubridae.
UAAGCAAAUUUGGCUUCCUCCGUUGAUUUUGCUUGUUAGAAGCUGGUUGCAAAUGACGAUCACAUGACCCGCAGAACAAUGCAAGUGUCAUAAAUACAUGCCAGUUGCCAAGUGCUCAAAUUCUGAUCAUGUGACCAUGGGGAUGCUGCAAUGGUCAUAAGUGCAAGGACUGGUUGUAAGUGAACUUUUUUUUUAAUGGUGGUGUAACUUUGAAUGUUCGCUAAAUGAAUGGUUGUAAGUUGAAGACUACCUGUAAUGAUGUAGCACAGGCUCGGAUCUGUCCAGCUCUCUUGGUUGGCAGGUGGCAAAUUUCUCCUGCAUUUUGUCUUAAGAAACUCUGCUGGUGAGAACCAGAACAGGCUUAGUCGUCUAGAGUAGAAAGAUACGAAUCUCUCUUGGUCUACAAAAUCUUAUUUUAUUAGUGCCAACAAAUCUUCAGAGGAAGCAGCGGUCUGUGGCUUCUCGCUCUGGGCUUAUAGCCUGUCUGGGUUUUACUGGAAAACAAAAUGGAAAAUAAAAAUGCUUUGGACGCCUGGAAAAUUCCCUUCUGCUUCUCUACAAGUGAGAGAUUGUCCAAACGGAAUAACUCCCUCCUUUCCAUUCGAUGGAUGCACUGCAAGAAUUGCAACCAGUAGUUUAGUGCCCUCUGGCAUUGUCCACUAGCCAGAGUGGUUAAAAGAAAAGAGUCACGUUUCCACCCACAUUGAAAAAAAAUUGCUAAUGGGAUGAAAUCUGAACUCUGCACCAACCUGAAUGGCUGCCUCUGUAUCCUUUGGGCUUGAAUGAAAUCCAGCGAUAUACGAUGGUCACUUCUGCAUCUCAAAUUAUCAUUAUUAUUAUUCUCUUCCCUAUUCAAAUUUGAUCUGGCCCAAAUUAUAGUUUGUCAAUCCUUUGUCAACAUUAAAUGACACUAGAAUUAGAUGUGGUGUUAUGCAAGGCGAGAAUCCAAUAUCUUAAGCAGUGUCUCCAGAAACCAUCUAGCCGGCUUAAAAUCUGAUUGCAUGCAUUGUUAAUUCUUUUUUUAGUCUGACAGGUUUUCACACAGGAGAAAUAAUAUAAUAUCAGAGGCCCAGGGAACUGAGAGCAGGGUAGUAAUUGCACAAAAGUCAAGGUGGUAAUUUCUACUCCAGAUCUUUCCCACAACAAUCCUGUGAUGUAGAACUUGGGCUGAAAAGAAGUGGAAUGGAAUACAAUACAUUUUAAAUAGAAGAGAAUACAGGACAAAAAAUAAUUCUACAUCUCUUCUACUGGGGAAAUUCAAAAGCAUCCUGGAAUCAGAGCAGCUUUGCAGGCAAAUGCCUCCAAUCAAAGCAAGGUUUCAUUCUUUGAAUAUGGGUAAACUCAGCAUUCUAGUGAGUUCACAAAAACAUAUCCUGGGUUGGUUCUGUGCAACGAAUUGAGCUUAACAUUAGAUGAAACUGAAGCAGCUUGGAUCGACUGUUUCCUCCCUGCCCCCUUAUUUUCCUCUUGACUCGUCACUCCUGUACAUGCGCAGUCCUGGUCUUGCUAUGAACUGUGAGCAGGAAGGCAGAUUUGCAACCCAACAAGUCUCUGCAUGCAGCUGAUGGUUUCCUACUUCUGAUCCUUCCGCUGGGGCCUGGAUGAAUAAACGUGGGCUUGAGGUGGUUUUGCUGAUUAAAUAGGUUUGUUGUUAUAGAGACGGGCUGGUAUAUAUUAUUAUGUAAAAGUAAAAAAUUGAGAUUGUAUGUUAUUACCAUAUUCUACUCUGCCAAAAAAUCAA